CUUUGUUCCCAUGUUCUGCAUGGUAUGAAGUGUAACAAGGGUGAGGGGUUUAGUGGGGGAGCAUAAUAUGCUUCCGGCACAUACCUAAUCUCCUCCAUGCUCUCCUGUCAUAUCUGGACAGAAUGCGUAGAGAUUUUACGGCUUUAGGGACACGGAAGCAAUGGAAAGUUACAGAUUAUUGCCAUCGGGGCUUGCAUUGUAUGCCUGAAAUCUCCUGCUGGUUUCCUGCGAGGUGACCGGACAGGGAUGACAGCACAUAGACCUUUUGGGAGGUCUGAAAUUGCUCGGACCCAACUAGCUAGAUCUGGACAUUCUUGGAAUAUGACUGUGCGGUGGUAACAUGGGAUGGGAGGACUGUUUGUUUAGUACCUUCAGUCUUGUGACUUUACCAUGUUUACAGUGCAGCUCUGCAAUUUUGCACAUAAAAGAGAGGGUGAACUCCCUCAUCUCAAUACUCCCAACAUUGAGGGCUUUUACUGUCUUUACAAACUGUUUGUUUGUCGAUGGCUUCUCCCAUCUCAACAAGCCUGUUUUCUAAGUCCAGGGGUGAUGCAUGCUUGGACAGAUGCAUGUCCAAGUGUGAGCCAGCUGCCAGGUUUCAGUGACCUCUGUCUGGUGUUAACAGAGCUUUGACAUGGCCAUGGAAAUGGUCGUUCAUGGGUGGAUGAGUGACAGCAGUGGUUUUCAGCUCACAGCGGUGGUCAGAGCUGCCUGGAAUAGCACACCCAUGUGAUCAACAGUCUAUUUGUAGGUGUGUGUACAGAGCGGGCUGCACUUACACGGGUGUCUCAAGAGAAGAGUGCAGUGAGGGGUCUGCUCUCUCGCUCUGUCGCACGCUCGUUGUCUAUGCCGGUGAAGUUUCACAGGUACUUUCAUUAUUCUGUUAGGCCUGUCUCUGAGCUCGGACCUCCAACGCGUCCAAGAGAAGUACCAUGGUUUUGAAGAAGCUGGCAGUCCUGGGGAAGCAGCUCCUGCGAGUGAAGGUGGUGGACUGCAGCAAUGAAGACACGCGCCUCUCACGCUGCCUCAACACCUUCGACCUGGUGGCGCUGGGCGUGGGCAGCACUCUGGGAGCAGGGGUCUACGUGCUGGCAGGCGCUGUGGCACGGGACAACGCCGGUCCUGCCAUCGUCAUCUCUUUCCUCGUUGCUGCGGCAGCGUCCGUGCUGGCUGGCCUGUGCUAUGCAGAGUUUGGCGCCCGUGUACCCAAGACUGGCUCUGCAUAUUUGUACAGCUAUGUGACGGUGGGCGAACUCUGGGCCUUCAUCACAGGAUGGAACCUCAUCCUCUCCUACAUCAUUGGGACGUCCAGCGUGGCACGUGCCUGGAGUGCCACAUUUGACGAGCUCAUUGGGAAUCACAUUGAGCAGUUUUGUCGUACCUACCUGAGCAUGCACGUGCCAGGCGUCCUUGCAGAGUACCCUGAUAUGUUUGCUGUGCUCAUCAUCCUCACGCUGACAGGUUUGCUGGCCUUUGGGGUGAAGGAGUCUGCUAUGGUCAAUAAGGUGUUCACCUGCAUCAAUGUCCUGGUGCUGCUCUUCAUGGUGGUGUCGGGCUUGGUCAAGGGCACACUCAAGAACUGGAACCUGGACCCCAGUGACAUUUUUCAUCCUGGAAUAAUGAGCCUUGGAGUAGGAGGUUUUAUGCCCUUUGGCUUCACUGGAGUGCUGUCAGGUGCUGCUACCUGCUUCUAUGCCUUUGUGGGCUUCGACUGCAUUGCCACCACAGGGGAGGAGGUGAAAAACCCCCAGCGGGCCAUCCCCAUUGGCAUAGUUGCCUCACUCCUCAUCUGCUUUGUGGCCUACUUUGGCGUGUCAGCCGCCCUCACCAUGAUGAUGCCCUACUACCUGCUGGACAAGAUGAGCCCAUUGCCUGUGGCCUUCAAGUAUGUGGGCUGGGAGGGGGCCACCUAUGCAGUGGCAGUGGGUUCACUUUGCGCCCUGUCCACCAGUCUCCUGGGCUCCAUGUUCCCCCUUCCACGCAUUAUCUUUGCCAUGGCGCGCGACGGUCUGCUCUUCUCGUUUCUGGCACGGGUGAGCGAGAGGAAGACUCCCAUCGUCUCUACCAUGGCCGCAGGGUUCAUGUCUGCGGUGAUGGCCUUUCUGUUUGACCUCAAGGACCUGGUGGAUCUCAUGUCUAUUGGCACACUAUUGGCAUACACUCUGGUGGCAGCCUGUGUCCUGGUCCUCCGGUACCAGCCGGAGCAGCCCAUCCAGCUGUACCAGAUGGCCAACACACAAGAUGAGAUGGAACUCAGCGAGUCCAUCGGCACCCUCAGCAUGGGCAUUCUUCCAGGCAUGGAAGAGCGCCUCAGCUUGAAGAACGUGUUCUUUCCUGAAAACCCAGAACCCUCAAAACUGUCUAGCUUUGUUGUCAAUGUCAGCACCAGCAUACUAGGAUUCCUCAUUGUUGUAUUUAGUGUACUAGCAGUUCAAGGAGGGCUUGCACUUUGGAAUGUGAUACUCCUGAGUGUUCUGGUUGUAACCUGCCUGGGCCUCACGCUGGUCAUCUGGAGACAGCCAGAGAGCAGGACGAAGCUGUCUUUUAAGGUCCCCCUGCUGCCUUUCAUCCCAGUGAUCAGCAUGUUUGCCAACGUGUACCUUAUGAUGCAGCUUGACAGGGGUACCUGGAUCCGCUUUGCUGUAUGGAUGGCUAUAGGCCUGGUGAUCUACUUCACCUACGGGAUUUGGCACAGUACAGAAGCUAUUAUGGCCCGUUCCAGUGUUGAGGUCAACCUCAAUGGCUACAAGCCCGCCAGUACUACGGAGAAUCCUAUAGCCCCUGAGAAAGCGGCUUUUCUUGGUGUGGGGAGCGAAGAUGACGGGGAUCUCUAAGGAUCCUGGGGCACUGCCAGCUCCCUGAUUUCCCCCCAUCUAACUUUCUUGUAUUUUGAAAGCAAAUUGUGAUGCUUGAAUGACAUGUUUCAGUCAAAAAAGAGAUUACGGGCAAAUCAAAGGGAACCCAGGCUAACUGAGUUCGGACCGGCCCAAAUCAAAAAAAACACAAUAUUUCAUUUAUUUAUUUUUUGUUUUGUUUUAUGUGGAGAGCAUUUUGCAGUUGCAAAUAAGCUGUCUGUUUUGUUGUUAAUUUUAGAAUGGCAAAUGGAUUACAGCACUCUAGUAUGCAUUAAUAUACAGGUGGUCCUUGACGUACGAUGGGGUUACGUUCCAUGAAACCCAUCAUAAGUCAAAAAUAUUGUAAGUCGAAAAUGCAUUUAAUACACCUGACCUACCGAACAUCAUAGCCUAGCAUACAUGCGAUGGCCAUUACAGGCUUGCCACCUUUAUGCUGGGCACCCUCCUCCUCCUCUUCCCACCAGUAGCAGGAGACACAGAUAGGCAUUUCUGUGACAUUAUGGAUGCACAAAACACAACGUAUAUACCAGGGGGUAUCUGUAUAGCAACCAUGUGACAGACUGGGAGAUGCAGAUUGCUGCCGUUUUCCAGCAUUACAAGAGUAUCGCACUGCAUAUCACUUGCCUGGGGAAAAAGAAAAAAAAUCUAAAUUCAAAGUAUGGUUUCUACUGAACUUCUAUUGCCAGCUCACCAUCGUAAAGUCAAAAAAUCGUAAAUUGGACCAUUGUAAGUCAAGGAGCAUCUGUACGCAGACAUGCAGUUUCUGUUUCUUGGCUGUUAAUUAGGUCCAUUUGCCUUUCUAUUUUGGAAUUCAGUUGACAAAUGUUGCAUAAUUAUUUUAAAGGGCCUUUCUGUCCUCAACUGGCUCAAGAUUCAUCUUUGUGAUUAAAAGCUAUUUCUAGCAAUAGCUGGCUUUUUUUGGGUAGACAACAGUACGGGUUGUUGAAAUGCCUCAGUUCAGUUGGUGUUCUAUGCCAGUAGGGGACCCAAAAAAUAGCACAGAGUGAGCAAUGAUUGUAUUACAUCAAUAAUCAGGUACUGUGUGCCAACCCUGAGGAACCUCAAGUUCAUAACUACAAACAGCUCUUGGGCUGCUAUACUGUUAACUGUAUCAGGGAACGGCUCAUUUUUCACAAGAGACUUUUAUGCUUCAAAGUGCAAUUUUUUUUUAAAGACUACUGAAUGUGACACCUGUCAUUUCUCAUUGAAGAACCGACUGUACAACAUAACAGGUUACUUCAUUUGCAUUAUCUGAGGGCUGACCUGUAAUGUGAGAAUGCAGCUGUGAUGUACUAGUAAAUUAGUAAACCAGUUCUUUGUCUUUGAGUAUUGAAAUGUUAGUGAAAUACAGGCCGUGUGAAUGGAAAGGUUCCCAGCGAACAUUGUUGUAGUAUUUUCACUAUUGCACAGCACUAUGCAGUCUCCCACAUAGAAGUUUAACUCUGAUAGUAGCUAACAGGACAUUUUGUACUGGGAUUACAGUGCUGGUAAUUGUGUCUCAGCUGAAUCAAAUUAAUUUUAUGAUCUGCUAUCCCUUAAAACACAAAUAUGAAAUAUAUUUAAAAAGUUAUACUCUAGAUUUGGAUAUAGAAAAGAAUAGUCUAUUUUAUAAUAAAACCAUAAACUUUAUAUUCA
This is a long non-coding RNA of Scleropages formosus (Asian bonytongue), 4490 nucleotides long. Lineage: Eukaryota; Metazoa; Chordata; Actinopteri; Osteoglossiformes; Osteoglossidae. The record is from Ensembl.